This 327-nucleotide ribosomal RNA is filed under the name uncultured Glomus. RNAcentral describes it as "SSU rRNA". It matches the Rfam family "Eukaryotic small subunit ribosomal RNA", at positions 771 to 1092 of the family's 1831-position model. Lineage: Eukaryota; Fungi; Glomeromycota; Glomeromycetes; Glomerales; Glomeraceae. The record is from RNAcentral.
GUGUUUAAAGCAAGCUAACGCUUGAAUACAUUAGCAUGGAAUAAUGGAAUAGGACGUUCGAUCCUAUUUUGUUGGUUUCUUAGGAUUGACGUAAUGAUUAAUAGGGAUAGUUGGGGGCAUUAGUAUUCAAUUGUCAGAGGUGAAAUUCUUUGGAUUUAUUGAAGACUAACUACUGCGAAAAGCAUUUUGCCAAGGAUGUUUUCAUUAAUCAAGAACGAAAGUUAGGGGAUCGAAGACGAUCAGAUACCGUCGUAGUCUUAACCAUAAACUAUGCCGACUAGGGAUCGGAUGAUGUUAAUUUUUUAAUGACUCAUUCGGCGCCUUACG